Molecule: ribosomal RNA, 609 nt
Filed under: Triticum aestivum (bread wheat)
Lineage: Eukaryota; Viridiplantae; Streptophyta; Magnoliopsida; Poales; Poaceae
Description: partial small subunit ribosomal RNA
Source: RNAcentral
AUGCACGUUACGAAGAAUAUUUGCGUGAACCUCCUAAGCUUCUUGGGCGUGUAUGGGAAGACAAAUGAUACAAAGGAAGCACGGCAGGACCAGCAACGUUUGAAAGACCCUGAUGACCGGCAUCCGGAAUGGUUUCAAGGUCGUGCCAGCUACGCUCUGACCAAAGAAGAGAAGGUCAUCUUUUUUGAAUGCCUGAGCAGUAUGAAGGUCCCGUCUGGAUUCUCGUCCAAUAUAAAGGGAAUAAUAAACAUGGCGGAGAAAAAGUUCCAAAACCUGAAGUCUCACGACUGCCACGUGAUUAUGACGCAAUUGCUUCCGAUUGCUUUGAGGGGGCUCCUGCCGGAAAAUGUUCGAGUAGCCAUUGUGAAGCUAUGUGCAUUCCUCAAUGCAAUCUCUCAGAAGGUAAUCAAUCCAGAAGUUCUACCACGGUUACAGAACGAUGUGAUCCAAUGUCUUGUCAGUUUCGAGUUGGUGUUCCCGCCAUCCUUCUUCAAUAUUAUGACGCACCUCCUGGUUCACCUAGUCGAAGAGAUUUUCGUUCUCGGUCCUGUAUUUCUACACAAUAUGUUCCUCUUCGAGAGGUUCAUGGGAGUAUUAAAGAAAUAUGUU